RNAcentral lists this ribosomal RNA (241 nucleotides) under uncultured bacterium. RNAcentral's name for it is "partial 16S ribosomal RNA". It matches the Rfam family "Bacterial small subunit ribosomal RNA", at positions 1260 to 1500 of the family's 1533-position model. The record is from RNAcentral.
ACUCAGAGCAAAUCCCAAAAAGACCGUCUCAGUUCAGAUUGCAGGCUGCAACUCGCCUGCAUGAAGACGGAAUUGCUAGUAAUCGCAGAUCAGCAUGCUGCGGUGAAUACGUUCCCGGGUCUUGUACACACCGCCCGUCACACCAUGGGAGUCGGGAAUGCCCGAAGUCAGUGACCCAACCCAAGGGAGGGAGCUGCCGAAGGCAGGCCUGGUGACUGGGGUGAAGUCGUAACAAGGUAUC